RNAcentral lists this ribosomal RNA (301 nucleotides) under uncultured bacterium. Its description in RNAcentral is "partial 16S ribosomal RNA". It matches the Rfam family "Bacterial small subunit ribosomal RNA", at positions 509 to 809 of the family's 1533-position model. The record is from RNAcentral.
CAGUAGCCACGGGAAUACGUAGGUGGCAAGCGUUGUCCGGAAUUAUUGGGCGUAAAGCGCGCGCAGGUGGUUUAAUAAGUCUGAUGUGAAAGCCCCCGGCUCAACCGGGGAGGGUCAUUGGAAACUGGGAAACUUGAGUGCAGAAGAGGAGAGUGGAAUUCCACGUGUAGCGGUGAAAUGCGUAGAGAUGUGGAGGAACACCAGUGGCGAAGGCGACUCUCUGGUCUGUAACUGACGCUGAGGAGCGAAAGCGUGGGGAGCGAACAGGAUUAGAUACCCCGGUAGUCCUGUCUCUUAUACA